GAGGGCGUGCGCCGGCCGGGAGGUGUCGGCGGCGCGGGGAGGGAAGUCUCCAGCGGAAGGUCGUCCGCCGGCCGGCGCGCCCUCGCGCUCUCCGCGGCGGCAUCAUGGCGGAGCCGAGCGGCUCGCCCGCGCACGUCCAGCAGCCCCAGCCGGCGGCCCCGGCGGCGGCCCCGGCCACCGCAGCGCCCGUGGCCCCGGCGUCCGGCUGGCCCAUCUGCAGGGACGCCUACGAGCUGCAGGAGGUCAUCGGCAGUGGCGCUACAGCUGUGGUCCAGGCUGCCCUAUGCAAACCCAGGCAAGAGCGCGUAGCAAUAAAGCGGAUCAACUUGGAAAAAUGCCAGACCAGCAUGGAUGAACUACUAAAAGAAAUUCAAGCCAUGAGUCAGUGCAGCCAUCCCAACGUAGUGACCUAUUACACCUCUUUUGUGGUAAAAGAUGAACUUUGGCUGGUCAUGAAAUUACUAAGUGGAGGUUCAAUGCUGGAUAUCAUAAAAUACAUCGUCAACCGAGGAGAACACAAGAACGGAGUUCUGGAAGAGGCAAUAAUAGCAACAAUUCUUAAAGAGGUUUUGGAAGGCUUAGACUAUCUGCACAGAAAUGGUCAGAUUCACAGGGAUUUGAAAGCUGGUAAUAUUCUUCUGGGUGAAGAUGGUUCAGUACAAAUAGCAGAUUUUGGGGUAAGUGCUUUCUUAGCAACAGGGGGUGAUGUUACCCGGAAUAAAGUAAGAAAAACAUUUGUUGGCACCCCGUGUUGGAUGGCCCCUGAAGUCAUGGAACAGGUGAGAGGCUAUGACUUCAAGGCUGACAUGUGGAGCUUUGGAAUAACUGCCAUUGAACUCGCCACAGGAGCAGCGCCGUAUCACAGAUACCCUCCUAUGAAAGUGUUGAUGUUGACUUUGCAGAACGAUCCACCCACUUUAGAAACGGGAGUAGAGGAUAAGGAGAUGAUGAAAAAGUAUGGCAAGUCCUUUAGAAAAUUACUUUCACUGUGUCUUCAGAAAGAUCCCUCCAAAAGGCCCACAGCAGCAGAACUUUUAAAAUGCAAAUUCUUCCAGAAAGCCAAGAACAGAGAGUACCUGAUUGAGAAGCUGCUUACAAGGACACCAGACAUAGCCCAAAGAGCCAAAAAGGUGAGACGAGUCCCGGGGUCAAGCGGUCACCUUCAUAAAACCGAAGACGGGGACUGGGAGUGGAGUGAUGACGAGAUGGAUGAAAAAAGUGAAGAAGGGAAAGCAGCUUUUUCUCAAGAAAAGUCACGAAGAGUAAAAGAAGAAAAUCCAGAGAUCACGGUGAAUGCCAGCAGCAUACCGGAGCAGAUACAGUCCCUUUCUGUGCAGGACUCUCAGGGCCUACCCAAUGCUAGUGAAGACUACAGAGAAGCUUCUUGCGCUGUGAACCUCGUUUUAAGAUUAAGAAACUCCAGAAAGGAGCUUAAUGAUAUACGAUUUGAGUUUACUCCAGGAAGAGGUAAGUUCUAAUUGAAGUUAUUAUUUUAUUGCUAGAAAGAGCAUUUCAGAAAUUGAUUACAAGCAUGUGGUUAUAAUUUGCUAUUCAAAAAUACGUUCUCUAAAAACAAAGAGAAGGAAGGAAAAAAGGAGGGAUUUGCAAUAAUUGCGGGGAAUCCAAACCAAACCCACUACUGACCGCAUGAAUUCCGGUGACAUGUGCUACACAGGAGAUACACAUUUGUAAAUUAAAUCUGUUAGCUCGACCAUGAAAAGCAGUUCUGGUGCAGUAAUGCAGGGCCUAGAGGACACUUGGAUGAGUGUGAAGAGAUGCGCACAGUGGUCUUAAUUAGGGUUGAGCAACAGACAAUGACAUCAGACCAGAAGGUAGCGUACUUUGCUCCUCUAUUGUCGGUUCAGAUUACAGGAAGCCUAUGUUGAGGAGAGUCUGGGCCUCUGACUGCUGUCGGCACCACUAGGAGGCUUGGUAGGAACAGUGCCAGUCUUGCAGCUGAAUAUAAUUUUAGUAUUUUGAGUAGUUACUAAACUAGUUUCAAGGCUAGACUGGUUGCUCUUUUAGCGCCUGGGUGCUUGGAAGUCAUCGAGCCAUGACCUGUUUCUUGGGGUCGCUAGCACCUGGCAGGCUCCUGGUGUGCAGGAGCAUCUCCAGUCCUUUUGGUUAAUUAAUGGGUACAGGCUUUGGAGAUCACAAGACUACUUGUUAAACAAAAAUUGCUUUUUCUACUCUGUAGUUCAUAACGAGAACAAUCUAGAGAAGUGAAAAUCAGAUGCUAAUGCUAAGACCGUAGUUGCUCACGUUGACCUCUGGUUUCAGACUUUUAUAUAGGUGAAAACAGCCUCAAUAUCUCAUUAGUCUCAUACUUUGAACGUAUUAAUAUAUGUAAGCUAAUAACACUCUCUAAUUAUUUUAUGUAUUAGAACUCCAUGUAAAUUGCGAUUUGAUUAAAUAGAUUGUCUUUGAGAAAAUUUUGAAAACCUGAAACUUUCUAGCUUGAUAGCUAGUCAAUCAGUUACAUGUUUGACCUCGCUGCUAUUAAUCACCUGUAGGAAGACACAAACUCAGAUGCCUACAGGAGCCAAAGUGAAUGGUGGGAACGUCAGAAAACCAGAGGGUUCUAUCUAAAUACAUUCAGGUUCAGUUUAGAAAAAACACUGCCCACCAAACAAAAUAUGUUCCUGGGCCGUAGGUGGUCACAGACUCACUCCCCCGAUUUCUCGUCUCCUGUACGCACCAAGGCUUCAUGAUUUCCGGUAUAUCUGAAUUAAACUAUCAUGUGAAGUCACUUUUACAAAAGAAAUAAGGCCCUAGUGAGUUUGCUAACCGAUCUUUCUUUCUGGGAACAGUCUUUGACAAUUUAGAGUCAGUCUGUGAAAUUGCACCGUUGUCGGUUGCUGUUAUCAAAAAGCUAUUUUGUCGUAAUAUAAAGAUAUUGACCAGCUAAUACUGUGAUAAAAAUCUAGCAAUUAUAUAAUAAAUGUUUCAAGUAUAGUAAAUAAAAGAAGUUUCUUAUUUUAAAGUUGCUUUUUCUUUUUUGAUCUGAUUGUUUAAAAUUGACAGUGGCAUUAAAAAACAAUGUUAAUUUCAAAAGUAACAAAGAAAUGAAUUUCUGAGUUGAGGAUUGCUGGGGAUAAGACGGCCCUAUCAGCAUUACCUGACCCUUCGUGCUGACUUUGGCAGCCUUGUCUGCCAUGGUGAGACUCAGAGUCUUUGCUUUUGUAGCCCAGACAGAAACCAUAGUGCUGGCCUUCCCUGUGCAGCGAGCACAGCCUGCUUCGUUUCAGAAAUACCAUGGCCGUAUCACCGUACCUCUGCGAUGCCUGAUGCUGUCUGCAUCUGAGAUGUUGUCUGUGUUCGAUGUGUGCACGCACACCACGUGCACUGUCUCUGCUGUAUACACACAUGUAUGUGGCAUCGAAUGUAUAACGUGAAUGUAUCAAAUAUCCUGUCGUCACUUGAGGGCAAGCCCUCUGUGUUUAUUAUGUUGCUGUAAUGGUCUAUAAAGCAGAGCAUACGUGAUCUUUUAUGACUAUUUAACCUGUUUACACAUUGGGAAUGUUAAGCAGCUUGAAGAAAAAUUACCAAUUACCCUCAAGUUUUUGUUCUCAACUAUUACUAUGUUACUUAACAUGCAUGAAAAAGAACUACUUAAUAGCACACACACAAACAAGGAAUGUUUUCAUUUUUGACCAACCAGCACGACCCGUUUGCUAUUUUAAUAUGAGUCAUGCGGUACCCAAGAGUCCUGAAAAUAUUCGGAGAGGCUGUACACUUCAAUCACUUGGGAGUGCUGUCUGCUUCGGUGCUGCUUUAGUGCUAGCCCUCCGUGUGACUUUGUUGACUACUCCGUUCUCAACUACCUUCUUUGAUUAUAGCUCCUCACUCAAGUGUAAGAUCUUACUGAUACUUCAGAAAUGGUGGUAACACUUCCAGUUGCUUUUACGGAUGAUCAGUCAGGAGAAGUGUAACCACUGCCUACUGUGUGCCCGGUAUCUACGAGGCAGGCACUUGCAUUCAAUAGGCUUCUUUUCCUGGAGUCUCUAGCAGCAUCCAGGAAGAUGGAGAUUGAGAGGCUGAAUGUUCUUGACAACUUUAUAAAGCUACAUCAUUUUCAGAGUAGAGCUUUUUGUUGUGCUACCCUAGGUUCCAUACUAUGAGAUGGUUUUAUCUCUGAGAGAAUUUUAUAAGGUGUUUCCUGUACUUCUCACAGUAAGGACAAGGCCCAAGAUAAGCCCACCUUAUAUGGAAUUUCGUUGUUUAGUAAAAUUCCUGUGUUUUUCUUUUCCAUUUCCUCCAUUUAUUCCAUUUCACUGAAUGAAUAAAAUGAUAGAAUACCACAAUUUCUCUGAAAGUACAAAGGAUAUAUAUUAAGUCUCAAAUUUUUAUCGGAGAUUUAGGAAAUGGGGCCGUGUGUGAGAGGGAGAAAGAGCACAAGGGUGUCAGGUGCAUUUCAGAUGGUCUUUGGCCGCCUCCUCAUCAGUUACCAUUUACUGAGGAAUUACUGAGUCAGACACUGGGCUGAGCACAUUAAAGCCCACUGUGAAAGGUAACUGUACCUUCACAGCUCCGUGCUCACGUGCGUACAGGUACACACACACACGCAACAUACACACUUGAGCCCACUUACGUAGUCACCACAUUUGAAACACAGACUCAGCAGGGAAACCCAGUCGCUGUGGAGGGCAGCCUUCGGCAUAGCAAACCGCAGUUCAGUUCAGGUGCUUGUUUGAUUCCGCAGCUGUGCCCAGUUUCUUCUCAUCCGGCUGUAGUGCUGGGUAUUUGUGAGACCAUCAGACCGCCACGGAGGCCACAUCGCCUCUCUCGUGAACACACAGGGAUACGGCAGACGGCGUUUCUCAGGAGCUCUUCUCUGCUGGUUUGGUCGAUGGUCAUGAUGUGGUUAUAGUGGCUGCUAAUUUACAGAAGAUUGUAGA
Molecule: RNA transcript, 4898 nt
Organism: Hippopotamus amphibius kiboko
Lineage: Eukaryota; Metazoa; Chordata; Mammalia; Artiodactyla; Hippopotamidae
Gene: STK39
Gene name: serine/threonine kinase 39
Exons: 17
Source: RefSeq, a predicted model, not a curated record